UAUUAGGUUGCUGCAAAAAUAAUCACAGUUUUUGCCAUUUAAAAGGAAUGGCAAAAACUGCAAUCACUUUUGCACCAACCUAAUA
This is a microRNA precursor of Colobus angolensis palliatus, 85 nucleotides long. The record is from Ensembl. Lineage: Eukaryota; Metazoa; Chordata; Mammalia; Primates; Cercopithecidae.